GACGAACGCUGGCGGCGUGCUUAACACAUGCAAGUCGAACGGGGAAUUUUGCUUCGGUAGAAUUCCUAGUGGCGAACGGGUGAGUAACGCGUAGGCAACCUGCCCUUCAGACGGGGACAACAUUCCGAAAGGGAUGCUAAUACCGGAUAAUAAAGCAGAUCGCAUGAUCAGCUUUUGAAAGGCGGCGUAAGCUGUCGCUAAGGGAUGGCCCCGCGGUGCAUUAGCUAGUUGGUAAGGUAACGGCUUACCAAGGCGACGAUGCAUAGCCGAGUUGAGAGACUGAUCGGCCACAUUGGGACUGAGACACGGCCCAG
Molecule: ribosomal RNA, 314 nt
Filed under: uncultured bacterium
Lineage: Bacteria
Description: bacterial SSU rRNA
Rfam family: Bacterial small subunit ribosomal RNA
Source: RNAcentral